This 440-nucleotide ribosomal RNA is filed under the name uncultured bacterium. RNAcentral's name for it is "partial 16S ribosomal RNA". It matches the Rfam family "Bacterial small subunit ribosomal RNA", at positions 338 to 795 of the family's 1533-position model. The record is from RNAcentral.
CCUACGGGUGGCAGCAGUAGGGAAUAUUUCACAAUGGGGGAAACCCUGAUGGAGCGACGCCGCGUGAGUGAAGAAGGAUUUCGGUAUGUAAAGCGCUUUCAGAAGGGAAGAAAAUGACGGUACCUGACUAAGAAGCCCCGGCUAACUACGUGCCAGCAGCCGCGGUAAUACGUAGGGGGCAAGCGUUAUCCGGAUUGACUGGGUGUAAAGGGAGCGUAGACGGCAGCGCAAGUCUGAAGUGAAAUCCCAGGGCUUAACCAUGGAACUGCUUUGGAAACUGUGCAGCUGGAGUGCAUGAGAGGGAAGCGGAAUUCCUAGUGUAGCGGUGAAAUGCGUAGAUAUUAGGAGGAACACCAGUGGCGAAGGCGGGUUACUGGACUGUAACUGACGUUGAGGCACGAAAGCGUGGGGAGCAAACGGGAUUAGAUACCCUUGUAGUC